Molecule: ribosomal RNA, 460 nt
Filed under: uncultured bacterium
Lineage: Bacteria
Description: partial 16S ribosomal RNA
Rfam family: Bacterial small subunit ribosomal RNA
Source: RNAcentral
CCUACGGGAGGCAGCAGUGAGGAAUAUUGGUCAAUGGGCGAGAGCCUGAACCAGCCAAGUCGCGUGAAGGAUGAAGGAUCUAUGGUUUGUAAACUUCUUUUAUAUGGGAAUAAAGUGAGGAACGUGUUUGUUUUUGUAUUUACCAUAAGAAUAAGCAUCGGCUAACUCCGUUCCAGCAGCCGCGGUAAUACGGAGGAUGCGUGCGUUAUCCGGAUGUAUUGGGUUUAAAGGGAGAGUAGGUGGUGCAUUAAGUUAGAUGUGAAAGUUAGGGGUUCAACCAGAAAAUUGCCGUUGAAACUGGUUGACUUGAGUAUAGUAGAGGAAGGCGGAAUGCGUGGUGUAGCGGUGAAAUGCGUAGAUAGAACGCAGAACUCCGAUUGCGAAGGCAGCUUACUAAACUGUAACUGACACUGAGGCACGAAAGCGUGGGGAUCAAACAGGAUUAGAUACCCCUGUAGUC